AUUGAACGCUGGCGGCAUGCCUUACACAUGCAAGUCGAACGGCAGCAUGAUCUAGCUUGCUAGAUUGAUGGCGAGUGGCGAACGGGUGAGUAAUACAUCGGAACGUGCCCUGUAGUGGGGGAUAACUAGUCGAAAGAUUAGCUAAUACCGCAUACGACCUGAGGGUGAAAGUGGGGGACCGCAAGGCCUCAUGCUAUAGGAGCGGCCGAUGUCUGAUUAGCUAGUUGGUGAGGUAAAGGCUCACCAAGGCGACGAUCAGUAGCUGGUCUGAGAGGUCGAUCGGCCACACUGGGACUGAGACACGGCCCAGACUCCUACGGGAGGCGGCAGUGGGGAAUUUUGGACAAUGGGCGAAAGCCUGAUCCAGCAAUGCCGCGUGUGUGAAGAAGGCCUUCGGGUUGUAAAGCACUUUUGUCCGGAAAGAAAUGGCUCUGGUUAAUACCUGGAGUCGAUGACGGUACCGGAAGAACAAGGACCGGCUAACUACGUG
This 490-nucleotide ribosomal RNA is filed under the name uncultured bacterium. RNAcentral describes it as "partial 16S ribosomal RNA". It matches the Rfam family "Bacterial small subunit ribosomal RNA", at positions 30 to 507 of the family's 1533-position model. The record is from RNAcentral.